GGCAGCAGCUAAGAAUAUUCCACAAUGGGCGAAAGCCUGAUGGAGCCACGCCGCGUGGACGAUGAAGGCCGGAAGGUUGUAAAGUCCUUUAGCAAGUGAGGAAUAAGCGGGACAGGGAAUGGUCUCGUGGUGACUGUAGCUUGAGAAUAAGGGUCGGCUAAUUACGUGCCAGCAGCCGCGGUAACACGUAAGACCCUAGCGUUAUUCGGAAUUAUUGGGCGUAAAGGGCACGCAGGCGGUCUGGUAAGUUUGGAGUGAAAUUACGGAGCUUAACUCCGUAGCUGCUUUGGAUACUGCUGGACUUGAAUCAGUGAGGGGUGACCGGAAUACCUAGUGUAGGGGUGAAAUCUGUAGAUAUUAGGUAGAACACCGGUGGCGAAGGCAGGUCACCAGCACAUGAUUGACGCUCAGGUGCGAAGGUGCGGGGAUCAAACAGGAUUAGAUACCCUGGUAGUCCGCACAGUAAACGAUGCACACUUGGUGUUCGCUCUUAAGAGUGGGUGCCGUAGUUAACGCUUUAAGUGUGCCGCCUGGGAAGUAUGCCCG
Molecule: ribosomal RNA, 546 nt
Filed under: uncultured rumen bacterium
Lineage: Bacteria
Description: bacterial SSU rRNA
Rfam family: Bacterial small subunit ribosomal RNA
Source: RNAcentral